GUCCACUGAUUUAAUUGUACGUCUCAUUUCCAAACAUCCUCACAGGAACACCCAGAAUGACGUUUGGCCAAAUAUCCGGGCAGCAAGGCCCAGCCGCGUCUGUACGUGAGAUGAGGCAUCACAGGGAGGUUCUCAGGCCUUCCAGGACCUCCGUUCCAGGACAAUGAGGCUCCUCCAUGUCUUCCUCACCGCUCUCUUGAUCCUCUUCCAGACAGCACUAGGGUGCUCAAUUUUGAAAGACCCUGCUGUCUUCUGGGUGGAAUCUGCCUGAAGCAAGGGACGCCGAGCUGUGAGCCCUUCAGAGGACCCUGCUGGGCAUUCACUGUUUGCUGCAAAAUACAGCUGAGCUGAUGGAGGCAGCCUAGCUGAGGAACCCGGUGAGAGACCCUGAGCAAGUCUCCUCUUGUGCAAAUAAAAGCAGACAGUUCUCACA
RNAcentral lists this long non-coding RNA (433 nucleotides) under Bos indicus x Bos taurus (hybrid cattle). RNAcentral's name for it is "lncRNA (ENSBIXG00000030276.1)". The record is from RNAcentral. Lineage: Eukaryota; Metazoa; Chordata; Mammalia; Artiodactyla; Bovidae.